AUUCACGUGUAGCAGUGAAAUGCGUAGAGAUGUGGAGGAAUACCGAUGGCGAAGGCAGCCCCCUGGGCCAAUACUGACGCUCAUGCACGAAAGCGUGGGGAGCAAACAGGAUUAGAUACCCUGGUAGUCCACGCCCUAAACGAUGUCAACUAGUUGUCGGGUCUUCAUUGACUUGGUAACGUAGCUAACGCGUGAAGUUGACCGCCUGGGGAGUACGGUCGCAAGAUUAAAACUCAAAGGAAUUGACGGGGACCCGCACAAGCGGUGGAUGAUGUGGAUUAGUUCGAUGCAACGCGAAAAACCUUACCUACCCUUGACAUGUAUGGAAUCCUGCUGAGAGGUGGGAGUGCCCGAAAGGGAGCCAUAACACAGGUGCUGCAUGGCUGUCGUCAGCU
Molecule: ribosomal RNA, 395 nt
Filed under: uncultured Pseudomonadota bacterium
Lineage: Bacteria; Pseudomonadati; Pseudomonadota
Description: bacterial SSU rRNA
Rfam family: Bacterial small subunit ribosomal RNA
Source: RNAcentral